This is a non-coding RNA of Oryctolagus cuniculus (rabbit), 1938 nucleotides long. NCBI's taxonomy places the organism in Eukaryota, Metazoa, Chordata, Mammalia, Lagomorpha, Leporidae. The record is from RefSeq and is a predicted model, not a curated record.
CGCAGUGUUGACUGGGAGGCGGGCAUGGGACUAUUCUAUCCAUUUCCUUUCCUCUAAAAACUCAAACUCUUCUCACUGGGGCAUUUUCUCAUGAUGUACACGAUACGGACCCAAGGAUCUAAGAUCGUCAAGACAGGUUUUACUGGAGGGAAAGGCUUUGAAGGCAGUCAGACUUGAGUUUGAACUUGGAUUCUACCUAGCAGCCAUCGACUGACUGCUUUGCUUUCGCAUCUAGAAAACAGGGGCUGAACCAGCUUUGUGGGCCAAAUUAUUUGAUGCUUAUAAAACUCAUGUAAUCGAGUUCAGCUCAGCCUGGAUUAUGCUGUUCCCUGAACGUCAGUUGUGUCUGCUCCUCUCCCUUAGAUGAACAGUGAUUUUCAUCCACAUCAAUGUUCUCCCCUGGAAUGUCUAAGCUCAGUGCAACAUUGGUUCUCUUGUCUCCCAUUUGUUUUGGCAGAGUGGCUGACCAUUCCCCGAUGGAGGACUCUGGGCCCUCUUCCUCAGUGACAGGGGUUUCUCACCCGCAGAGAAGUUUUGAUUCCUAGAGGAGAAAACGUUCUGAUGAAUUUUCAGACCCACCUAACAAGAGACUUCACUUCGCUCAGGACGCUUUCCCGGGAUGCCUGUGCUGGUCGGGCCCCUCCUGCGUGCUGCCUUGGCAACUGGACUUCCUCAAUGCCGGCAUUUAUCAUCUCAUAGGCACUUGUCCAAUUGGUAAGAAGAUAAUGGAGAAAAAGACAAAGUCUUGCUUCAUGGCAUUUAUAUUCUCCGGCAGGACCUCAAUAUCUACAUAGAAUCUCAGGCUUUCUGUGAUGAGAAGUCUGGCUCCCUGGGAAGACAAUGGCAGGUUCCAACUUACAAGGUGACAUGACCAAGAAAUAGGAAGACUGGCACAAAAUCUCAGUCACUCAUAAGAUGGAUGGAUAAAGUACCUUCAGUCCCAUUAAGGAGCCAUUUCUCUAGGCUGCCCAUGCUGCCUGGCAGGAAACGGCAGGAAGCAGAGCUAGCAAUUCUGCAUGAGACGGCAUGGAAAUAGCUGAGGAAAUAUUAGGACCACAAAAACACUGUGUGUGGGAGUCAGACGAAAGCCAAGCCUGUGACAACAGAUAGAACUUCUUUUCAAGCAGGCAAAGAAUAAAGAAUCCAUGGAUACCUGGAUGCCAUGUGGGAAGCCCUAGAGCCAAAUGCAGACAUAAAUGACUAUACCAUAACUGGGCAGCAAGAAAACAUCAGGAACCAGUGACUUCAUGCAGGAAAAUGGAUGUGUACAUCUCUGAAGGGAUAAGAAUGUAUUAUUUUAUGUAACUGGCAUAGCAUACAAAUAAGAUAAAUAAACUUAUCAGUUGACCAUAGCAGAUAUUUCUAGCCUGACUGAUCCAUGAAAGUCUUUAUUUUCCAAGUUUCCAUCUCUCUUAUCAGAAACAAUUUUAUUAAUCAAAUGAAGAAAUAGAAAUAUAUUAGGGAUGUCGUAGGAUUUGCUUUCUAGUAGACUUGGAAUGCAAUUCCGCCUCUACCAUUCAGUAGCUGUGUGGCUUUGUACAAUUUGUUGUCCUUGCUUGGCCUCAGUUUCCCCACCUGUACUGUGAGGUUAAUGAUAUCUGCCACAUACAAGUGUCAGAAGGAUUAAACAAUGGCGGUGGGCAUUUGGUGCAGUGGUUAAGACAUUGCUUGGGAUGCCCCCAUCCCACACAGAGUGCCGGAACUUGAAUCUCAGCUCCACUUCCAAUUCCAGCUUUCUGCUAAUGGACACCCUGUGAGGCUCAAGUAGUUGGAUUCCUACUUGUGGGAGAUCUGGGUUGAGUUGCUGGCACCUGGACUGGGCCUGUCCCAGCCAUGUCUAUUAUGGGCAUGUGAAGAGAGAACCAUCAGAUGGAAGAUAACACUGUGUUUCUGUGUGUGUGUCUGUCUGCUCUUCAAAUAAGUAAACAAGAAUUAAAA